UUGGUGUGGGGAGUAGUCUGUGGAGCUGCUGCUUCUGGAAACUUCCAUUGGAACAUUGAAGAUGUUUCUAAAUCUAUUGUUUGCAUGAUUAUGUCGGGACCAUGUCUUACAGGCUAUACACAGACACUGAAUGAUUGGUAUGACCGGGAUAUUGAUGCAAUUAAUGAGCCCUAUCGCCCUAUUCCUUCAGGAGCUAUAACUGAGGGCGAGGUUAUAACCCAAAUCUGGGUGCUUCUUCUAGCAGGCCUUGGCUUGGGAGCUUUACUAGAUGUGUGGGCAGGGCACAAUUUUCCUAUUGUUUUUUACCUGGCUGUGGGAGGAUCUUUGCUUUCUUAUAUUUAUUCUGCUCCACCCUUGAAGCUCAAGCAAUUUGGAUGGAUUGGAAAUUUUGCUUUGGGGGCAAGCUACAUCAGCUUACCAUGGUGGGCAGGUCAGGCUCUAUUUGGGAAUCUCACCCCUGAUGUGGUUGUUCUCACACUCUUGUACAGCAUUGCUGGGCUUGGGAUUGCUAUUGUAAAUGAUUUUAAAAGUAUUGAAG
Molecule: unclassified non-coding RNA, 538 nt
Filed under: Hevea brasiliensis (rubber tree)
Lineage: Eukaryota; Viridiplantae; Streptophyta; Magnoliopsida; Malpighiales; Euphorbiaceae
Source: RNAcentral